UACGUAGGGAGCGAGCGUUGUCCGGAUUUAUUGGGCGUAAAGAGCGCGUAGGCGGCUCGGUAAGCCGGAUGUGAAACCUCCAAGCUCAACUUGGAGCGGCCAUUCGGAACUGCUGUGGCUAGAGUCUGGUAGGGGAACACGGAAUUCCUGGUGUAGCGGUGAAAUGCUUAGAUAUCAGGAGGAACACCAGUGGCGAAGGCGGCGCACUGGACCAUAACUGACGCUGAGGCGCGAAAGCUAGGGGAGCAAACAGG
RNAcentral lists this ribosomal RNA (254 nucleotides) under uncultured bacterium. RNAcentral describes it as "partial 16S ribosomal RNA". It matches the Rfam family "Bacterial small subunit ribosomal RNA", at positions 524 to 776 of the family's 1533-position model. The record is from RNAcentral.